CCUACGGGUGGCAGCAGUGAGGAAUAUUGGUCAAUGGCCGGAAGGCUGAACCAGCCAAGUCGCGUGAGGGACGCCUGCCCUAUGGUCUGUAAACCUCUUUUAUAAGGGAAGAAUAACGGCUACGUGUAGCAUGCUGCCUGUCCCUUAUGAAUAAGCAUCGGCUCAAUCCGUGCCAGCAGCUGCGGUAAUACGGAGGAUGCGUGCGUUAUCCGGAUUUAUUGGGUUUAGAGGGUUCGUAGGCGGGUUUUUAAGUUAGUGGUUAAACGUCGGGGCUUCACCUUGAUUUGCCAUUAAUACUGUAAGACGCGAGUUCAGACGAGGUAGGCGGAAUAAGUUAAGUAGCGGUGAAAUGCUUAGAUAUAACUUAGAACUCCGAUAGCGAAGGCAGCUUACCAGACUGCGACUGACGCUGAAGCACGAGAGCGUGGGUAGCGAACAGGAUUAGAUACCCGUGUAGUC
This 459-nucleotide ribosomal RNA is filed under the name uncultured bacterium. RNAcentral describes it as "partial 16S ribosomal RNA". It matches the Rfam family "Bacterial small subunit ribosomal RNA", at positions 338 to 795 of the family's 1533-position model. The record is from RNAcentral.